RNAcentral lists this ribosomal RNA (794 nucleotides) under uncultured archaeon. RNAcentral's name for it is "bacterial SSU rRNA". It matches the Rfam family "Archaeal small subunit ribosomal RNA", at positions 47 to 848 of the family's 1478-position model. The record is from RNAcentral.
AGCCAUGCGAGUCAUUGUAGCAUACAAGGCAGACGGCUCAGUAACGCGUAGUCAAUCUACCCUGUGGACGGGAAUAACCUCGGGAAACUGAGAAUAAUACCCGAUAGAACAUUAUGCCUGGAAUGGUUUAUGUUUAAAAUGAUUUAUCGCCAUAGGAUGGGACUGCGGCCUAUCAGUUUGUUGGUGAGGUAAUGGCCCACCAAGACUAUUACAGGUACGGGCUCUGAGAGGAGUAGCCCGGAGAUGGGUACUGAGACACGGACCCAGGCCCUAUGGGGCGCAGCAGGCGAGAAAACUUUGCAAUGUGCGAAAGCACGACAAGGUUAAUCCGAGUGGUUUCUGCUAAAGAAACCUUUUGUCAGUCCUAGAAACACUGGUGAAUAAGGGGUGGGCAAGUUCUGGUGUCAGCCGCCGCGGUAAAACCAGCACCUCAAGUGGUCAGGAUGAUUAUUGGGCCUAAAGCAUCCGUAGCUCGUUUUGUAAGUUUUCGGUUAAAUCCAUGCGCUCAACGUAUGGGCUGCCGGGAAUACUGCAUAACUAGGAAGUGGGAGAGGUAGACGGUACUCGGUAGGAAGGGGUAAAAUCCUUUGAUCUAUUGAUGACCACCUGUGGCGAAGGCGGUCUACCAGAACACGUUCGACGGUGAGGGGUGAAAGCUGGGGGAGCAAACCGGAUUAGAUACCCGGGUAGUCCCAGCUGUAAACUAUGCAAACUCAGUGAUGCAUUGGCUUGUGGCCAAUGCAGUGCUGCAGGGAAGCCGUUAAGUUUGCCGCCUGGGAAGUACGUACGCAAGU